RNAcentral lists this ribosomal RNA (311 nucleotides) under uncultured Gammaproteobacteria bacterium. Its description in RNAcentral is "bacterial SSU rRNA". It matches the Rfam family "Bacterial small subunit ribosomal RNA", at positions 198 to 497 of the family's 1533-position model. Lineage: Bacteria; Pseudomonadati; Pseudomonadota; Gammaproteobacteria. The record is from RNAcentral.
AGGGGAAAGGGCUCUUGAGNNNCUUGCUAUUGAUGAGCCUGCGUAAGAUUAGCUUGUUGGUGAGGUAAAGGCUCACCAAGGCGACGAUCUUUAGCUGUUCUGAGAGGAUGAUCAGCCACACUGGGACUGAGACACGGCCCAGACUCCUACGGGAGGCAGCAGUGGGGAAUAUUGCACAAUGGGGGAAACCCUGAUGCAGCCAUGCCGCGUGUGUGAAGAAGGCUCUAGGGUUGUAAAGCACUUUCAGUGGGGAGGAAAAGUUAGUAGUUAAUACCUGCUAUCCGUGACGUUACCACAGAAGAAGGANCGCU